This 811-nucleotide long non-coding RNA is filed under the name Mus musculus (house mouse). Its description in RNAcentral is "long non-coding RNA chrX:105945572-105946383". The record is from RNAcentral. Lineage: Eukaryota; Metazoa; Chordata; Mammalia; Rodentia; Muridae.
GGGAUUUGAACUCAGGACCUUUGGAAGAGCAGUCAGUGCUCUUAUCCGCUUAGCCAUCUCUCCAGCCCAAAUGACAUCAUUUUUUAUUGAACAGUUGUCUUGGUUAGGGUUUUACUACUAUGAAUAGACACCACGACCAAGGCAACUCUUAUAAAGGACAACAUUUAAUUGGGGCUGGCUUACAGGUUCAGAGGUUCAGUCUAUUAUCAACAAGGUGGGAACAUGGCAACAUCUAGGCAGGCAUGGUAUAGGAGGUGUUAAGAGUAUUACAUCUUCAUCUGAAGGUUGCUAGAGGAAGACUAACUUCGAGGUAGCUAGGAGGAGGGUUUUUUGUUUCUUUGUUUGUUUUUGUUUUUUUAAAAGUUAAGGUCCUCUGAUGGGUACCACACUAGAGUUUAAUUGUAGACGUUUCAUAUGCCAGUAUAGCAACAUCCACAGGAAAAUCUAUAGUAUUGCAGCAAACACCUUUAUAAUGGCCAUUAUAAAGUAUUUAAACAUGUUGUUGACUCAACAGCAAAAUUUAUAAACUAUUAUCUUGUUAACACAAGGAACUAAAACUAGCCCGACUCUAUGAGAGAGCAUUUAGGGAACUAGGAAUAACAUUUGUGCAACAUAGUUUGGUUCAACACAACUAAGUAGCCAGUGUUGGUUCAAACUGAGUUUGAUCCUAGCUACUUUAUUUAAGGCGUAUGUAAACACAUCACAAUUUGGUGAAAAUUUGCCUGGUGAUAAUUAGAUCAACCCCAGGCACACAAUAAAGUUUGAGACAUGACCAUAUCAGAACUUUAUAAAGCACAUGUGGCAUCCUCCA